GACGUAGGGGGCGAGCGUUGUCCGGAAUUACUGGGCGUAAAGAGCACGUAGGCGGAGACUUAAGUCAGAUGUGAAAGACCGGGGCUCAACCCCGGGGUUGCAUUUGAAACUGGGUCCCUUGAGGGCAGGAGAGGACAGUAGAAUUCCUGGUGUAGCGGUGAAAUGCGUAGAAAUCAGGAGGAAUACCAGUGGCGAAGGCGACUGUCUGGACUGUCCCUGACGCUGAGGUGCGAAAGCGUGGGUAGCAAAC
RNAcentral lists this ribosomal RNA (250 nucleotides) under uncultured bacterium. RNAcentral describes it as "partial 16S ribosomal RNA". It matches the Rfam family "Bacterial small subunit ribosomal RNA", at positions 524 to 773 of the family's 1533-position model. The record is from RNAcentral.